This 471-nucleotide ribosomal RNA is filed under the name uncultured bacterium. RNAcentral's name for it is "bacterial SSU rRNA". It matches the Rfam family "Bacterial small subunit ribosomal RNA", at positions 44 to 524 of the family's 1533-position model. The record is from RNAcentral.
GUGCCUAACACAUGCAAGUCGAACGCGCUCCAUUCGGUAGCAAUACUGAUGAAGAGCGAGUGGCGAACGGGUGAGUAGCACGUGAGCAACCUGCCCCGAAGACCGGGACAACACCGGGAAACCGGUGCUAAUACCGGAUAUCCCUAUCGGACCGCAUGAUCUGAUAAGGAAAUGGAUUCCGCUUCGGGAGGGGCUCGCGGCCUAUCAGCUAGUUGGUGAGGUAACGGCCCACCAAGGCAUCGACGGGUAGCUGGUCUGAGAGGACGAUCAGCCACACUGGGACUGAGACACGGCCCAGACUCCUACGGGAGGCAGCAGUGGGGAAUCUUGCGCAAUGGGCGAAAGCCUGACGCAGCAACGCCGCGUGGAGGACGAAGGCUUUCUGAGUUGUAAACUCCUUUCAGCAGGGACGAUAGUGACGGUACCUGCAGAAGAAGCACCGGCCAACUACGUGCCAGCAGCCGCGGUAAU